RNAcentral lists this ribosomal RNA (406 nucleotides) under uncultured bacterium. Its description in RNAcentral is "partial 16S ribosomal RNA". It matches the Rfam family "Bacterial small subunit ribosomal RNA", at positions 30 to 526 of the family's 1533-position model. The record is from RNAcentral.
AUUGAACGCUGGCGGCAGGCCUAACACAUGCAAGUCGAACGAGUGGCGGACGGGUGAGUAAUGUCUGGGAAACUGCCUGAUGGCGGGGGAUAACUACUGGAAACGGUAGCUAAUACCGCAUACCAUUGGAUGUGCCCAUCUGGGAUUAGCUAGUUGGUGGGGUAACGGCUCACCUAGGCCACGAUCCCUAGCUGGUCUGAGAGGAUGACCAGCCACACUGGAACUGAGACACGGUCCAGACUCCUACGGGAGGCAGCAGUGGGGAAUAUUGCACAAUGGGCGCAAGCCUGAUGAAGCCAUACCGCGUGUAUGAAGAAGGCCGUCGGGUUGUAAAGUACUUUCAGCGGGGAGGCGUUACCCGCAGAAGAAGCACCGGCUAACUCCGUGCCAGCAGCCGCGGUAAUAC